This 253-nucleotide ribosomal RNA is filed under the name uncultured bacterium. Its description in RNAcentral is "partial 16S ribosomal RNA". It matches the Rfam family "Bacterial small subunit ribosomal RNA", at positions 524 to 776 of the family's 1533-position model. The record is from RNAcentral.
UACAGAGGGGGCAAGCGUUGUUCGGAAUUACUGGGCGUAAAGGGCGCGUAGGCGGCCUGUUAAGUCGAACGUGAAAUCCCCGGGCUCAACCCGGGAACUGCGUCCGAUACUGGCAGGCUUGAAUUCGGGAGAGGGAUGCGGAAUUCCAGGUGUAGCGGUGAAAUGCGUAGAUAUCUGGAGGAAUACCGGUGGCGAAGGCGGCAUCCUGGACCGAGAUUGACACUGAUGAGCGAAAGCUAGGGGAGCAAACGGG